AAGCGCUUGUAACCAGACGUGCGCCGGGGUGUUCAGCGGGCGUUCUCGCCCGUGCACUCGCCUCGGCGCAGGCCAGCGUCGGUUCGAGCGGAGGGAUAAAGGCGUCUGGAAUGUGGCUCCUCCGGGAGUGUUAUAGCCAGGCGUGCCAUGCCUCCGCCCGGACCGAGGUACGCGUUCUGCAAGGACGCUGGCGUAAUGGUUCCCAGCGA
RNAcentral lists this ribosomal RNA (209 nucleotides) under Chaetosphaeria sp. RNAcentral describes it as "partial large subunit ribosomal RNA". The record is from RNAcentral. Lineage: Eukaryota; Fungi; Ascomycota; Sordariomycetes; Chaetosphaeriales; Chaetosphaeriaceae.